UGAGCAAGGAGGAAGUGCCUUACUAUAGCUAGCAAUGCACCUCGCACACCCCCGGGCAGCUUGUUGGAGUAGCCCAAAGCCUUAGGACGCGGCAGAAGGGAAGUUUAAUGUCAUUUCUUUAAGGGUUGAUUUUUUUUAUUUAUUUUUUAUAGGACAUUGAAUGAGGGAAAGGGGAGGAAGCCCAUCUCUAGCGAUCUCUCCUCCCACGCCCUCUCUCCCUCCUCCACCUCAGGGGUGUGCGUAAAAAAAAAAACCCCUCUUGCAAGACGGAGGUGGGGGGUCGUGCAGUUCCUCUUGCUGUUUGCCAAUAUGGCUUGAGGACUUUCAAUAGGUAGAUCGCUUUCAGGAGUCAAUGAGGGGGGGGGGAUGGAGACCUGCUUGGCGAAGGGGGUGUGGUGCGGUUCAAGGCUGUUUGUAGUGCGAUCCAUACAGCGCAUUGCUCCCUGCCAUACAAUGGUGUCUGAAAUCCUGCGCGCGAUUGGUCGCUCUCCGAUGAAUGACAAGGAGGGGGGUAUAUGCCAGUAGGGUCAGGGCCCCCCGCCUGUUCAUCCCGUGUGGUUUUUGUUCAUUGUCGCUGCUUCCCAGCUCUGGGUACCGAUCUCUCCUCCAUAAGCAGCGGGCAAGAUGCAAAUACACUGACAAAUAAACGCACAUACUUUUAGCGCCCACGUUAGCGAGGGUCUGGGAAUGCGGGGGAGACCCGUCGCGCCUUCUUCUUUAUGUGUGAUGUACAGACAGCCAUUCAUAAUUUUACUGAGAACUACAAUGGUGGGUACGUGGGGGGAGGGGGUGGGAUGGGAAGAGGCAGCCUCUAUUAAAAACAAAAUGUACAGGGGUGCUGCUGGGCUACGAGCCAUUCUCACAUUAAAAGAUGUAUUUCCAUCAUAGACAUUGAGGAGGUGCCUUCCUGUGUGUGCUUUCAUUUCACUUGUUGCAGAUUUAGUUUCACUAUGAAAUCUUGAAUAAUUUCUUGAUUUGGAGGAAUUUCUACCACUACAAUACAUUGGUUCCAAAGAAGUAUGAUGACCUGAAGGAUCUGAUUGCACCUCAAGGAAGUAGUACAUCUAAUACUUGCUGUGAUACAAUUUUAGAAGCAAUCUCAUAUUUAUUCCCUGCAGUAUAAAAAAAGGAGACUAUGACAAUCUUCAGGUUCAGUACAAUGAAAUUGUUUUUGUAAAGAAAUUUAACCAAAAAUUAAAUUUUAUUAUAUUUUAUUAUUAGUAUGUACUGUUCAUUUACGGAAAUCUUAAAUGAUCAAGCCACGUACAUGUCUGAACAGCUUUUCCCUCUGCACUUCACUUUUUAACACCAAUAAAUAAUGGUAAAACUCA
Molecule: long non-coding RNA, 1331 nt
Organism: Xenopus laevis (African clawed frog)
Lineage: Eukaryota; Metazoa; Chordata; Amphibia; Anura; Pipidae
Exons: 2
Source: RefSeq, a predicted model, not a curated record